This 973-nucleotide long non-coding RNA is filed under the name Salmo salar (Atlantic salmon). RNAcentral's name for it is "lncRNA (ENSSSAG00000083380.1)". The record is from RNAcentral. Lineage: Eukaryota; Metazoa; Chordata; Actinopteri; Salmoniformes; Salmonidae.
GAGACAGAGGAAAUGAAAGGAAAGGAAAAGGUCUAUUGACGAUUUCUUCCAGAAGCGGGAAGAGGAGCUCUGGGACCCAUUUGGAGCAUCUCAGAAAUCACUUAGUGCAUCAUUCCACACAGCUGUGAUCAAUCUUCGAGCUGGGUAGUGGGUCUGCAUGGCACAGAGAUGAAUGUCUGCCCCUCUCUCCGUGUCCCGAUAACGGAUGUUUGUUCUAACCUGUUUGUUCUAGCCAGCUGAACAGAAGGCAUGUGCAACGCAGCCCAUAAGGACAUGGAUAUAAGAAACUUGUUGCUGAUUUGAAGAUUUGAAGUAGUAGAAUUGAAUACAUGGCUAAUGCUGUGUUGGACGACAUGUUGGGACACAUUCUUUUAGAACACAUAGAGCAUAAUUCUUCUCUGUGUAGUGUGGAGUAAGGUCUGGUGUUUGAGAGAGUGCUUUAGUCAUGCAUUUCAUACAAGCUCUGCCUCCGUUCAUUCCCCUUUUGUGGAUCAGAGACAAGGUAGAAGAUGUAAGCAAUAACUUGACUUGAGUUUCUAUCAUAUUUCUCUGACCUAUCCAAGUUCACAGGGGCGGGCGGCCUGUCCAUCUGGCAUUUUGGGCAAAUGCCAGAUGGGCUGGUCCAUUUUUAGCCCAGUAGGACUGUCUAACUUGUGCCCCUCAAGGUACAAAAUGGGCUGGUAUGGGGGCCUCAAAGAAAAAACAGAGUGGCUGCGGUUCUGGAUUUUCUGUAACCCGACAUGCUGUUGCUGAAAAUACGGAGAUUUCUGCAUAUGCGGGAUCCACGAGCCUACCUCCUUUCAGCUGCUGCUCAGUAAUAAUGGGAAGUUCUUACCGACUCAGAUCUUUUUGACUCAGUCAAAAGAAUGAAUCAAGCUCAUUCCAUUCAUUUGAUUCAGUAAUGCCCAGAGCAUGCAGGACCCCUACAGGCAAAUGAUGAACUAAAAGCUCGAAGGAAUCAUGAUUGCACAAG